GAGUUUGAUCUUGGCUCAGAACGAACGCUGGCGGCAUGCCUAACACAUGCAAGUCGAACGAAGGCUUCGGCCUUAGUGGCGCACGGGUGCGUAACGCGUGGGAACCUGCCCCUCGGUUCGGAAUAACAGUUAGAAAUGACUGCUAAUACCGGAUGAUGACUUCGGUCCAAAGAUUUAUCGCCGAGGGAUGGGCCCGCGUAGGAUUAGCUUGUUGGUGGGGUAAUGGCCUACCAAGGCGACGAUCCUUAGCUGGUCUGAGAGGAUGAUCAGCCACACUGGGACUGAGACACGGCCCAGACUCCUACGGGAGGCAGCAGCGGGGAAUUGUUCGCAAUGGGCGCAAGCCUGACGACGCAACGCCGCGUGGAGGAUGAAGGUCUUCGGAUUGUAAACUCCUGUUGCCCGGGACGAAAAGCUUCGACCUAACACGUCGAAGUCUGACGGUACCGGGUGAGGAAGCCCCGGCUAACUCUGUGCCAGCCGCCGCGGUAAU
This 493-nucleotide ribosomal RNA is filed under the name uncultured Alphaproteobacteria bacterium. Its description in RNAcentral is "bacterial SSU rRNA". It matches the Rfam family "Bacterial small subunit ribosomal RNA", at positions 9 to 524 of the family's 1533-position model. Lineage: Bacteria; Pseudomonadati; Pseudomonadota; Alphaproteobacteria. The record is from RNAcentral.